This is a non-coding RNA of Panthera uncia (snow leopard), 1136 nucleotides long. NCBI's taxonomy places the organism in Eukaryota, Metazoa, Chordata, Mammalia, Carnivora, Felidae. The record is from the annotation of a RefSeq genome assembly.
CCCAGCUGAUUUGCAUAAGCAGCAGGUCUUUCCAGCAAGGGGAUAAGAGAUGCCUGGAAGGAACUUUGCCCAAGGUCUUGGUAGCAGAAUCAGUGCGUCUCCACCAUGGCCUGGACCCCUCUUCUCCUCAGUAUCCUGGCUCACUGCACAGGUUCCAUGGCCUCCUACGUGCUGACCCAGCCCCCGUCAGUGUCAGUGAACCUGGGACAGACAGCCAGAAUCACCUGUGGGGGAAACAACAUUGGAAGUAAAAAUGCUUACUGGUACCAGCAGAAGCCAGGCCAGGCCCCCAUGCUGGUCAUUUACUAUAGCAGCAACCGGCUCUCAGGGAUCCCUGACUGAUUCUCUGGCACCAACUCGGGGAACACGGCCACCCUGACCAUCAGCGGGGCCCAGGCUGAGGACGAGGCUGACUAUUACUGUAAGGUGUGGGAUGGCAGUAGUGAUGCUCACAGUGACACAGGCAGAUGGGGAAGUGAGACAAACCCCUUCCCCAUCUGUAUCACACUCUCCUCCAGCCUCAGCGGUCUGACCCAGGUCCCCAGACCUCCUAUCCACCCACGCUUCACGCAGCACCACCAGAGGAUAUAUCAGGGUUGAUCUGGGGGCUCUUGGGAUUUUUUUUGAGCCUGAGUAUGUUUGGCAACAGAGGACCUGAGUGGAAGGACAAACAGAAAGAAACAUCCAUCCGCUGCUCCUUACCCCUCCAUGUCCAUAUGGCGGUCAUGGGCCGUUCCUUCACCCAACUGACGAAUAUUAGAGGCCUGAAUUUCUCAGCUCAGCUGAGCUCCAGAAGCCCUGCCACCAUGACAGCUGGGGAUUCUGAGUGGAGCACACUAGUGCAUUAUUCACUGUGGUGUCACCCCCCUCCUGGGCUCACACAUGCACCCACCUCUGCCUGGAGCCCCUGACAGCUCACAGGGGUCCUCCUCACUGUGAAGUGCCCUUGGAUCAGACAACUGCCUCCCCAGGUUUCUGCCCCUUCUCAGAGAGGUUCAGGUGCAUGCUGGCCUGAGUGAAUGAAGGCCCUGCCUCAGGUUCAGAUGUCCUGAAGGUCUCAGCUUUAGAGCUCCCUGCAGGGAUGGAGGCCUCAUCUGAUGUCUCACUGCACGUGGGUCACUUCUCCUUCUGCCCAG